AGAGUUUGAUCCUGGCUCAGGACGAACGCUGGCGGCACGCUUAACACAUGCAAGUCGAACGAGAGAAGAGGAGCUUGCUUUUCUGAUCUAGUGGCGGACGGGUGAGUAACACGUGAGCAAUCUGCCUUUCAGAGGGGGAUACCGAUUGGAAACGAUCGUUAAUACCGCAUAACAUAAUUGAACCGCAUGAUUUGAUUAUCAAAGAUUUAUCGCUGAAAGAUGAGCUCGCGUCUGAUUAGCUAGUUGGUAAGGUAACGGCUUACCAAGGCGACGAUCAGUAGCCGGACUGAGAGGUUGAUCGGCCACAUUGGGACUGAGACACGGCCCAGACUCCUACGGGAGGCAGCAGUGGGGAAUAUUGCACAAUGGAGGAAACUCUGAUGCAGCGAUGCCGCGUGAGGGAAGAAGGUUUUAGGAUUGUAAACCUCUGUCUUCAGGGACGAAAAAAGACGGUACCUGAGGAGGAAGCUCCGGCUAACUACGUGCCAGCAGCCGCGGUAAUACGUAGGGAGCGAGCGUUGUCCGGAAUUACUGGGUGUAAAGGGAGCGUAGGCGGGAUCGCAAGUCAGAUGUGAAAACUAUGGGCUUAACCCAUAAACUGCAUUUGAAGCUGUGGUUCUUGAGUGAAGUAGAGGUAAGCGGAAUUCCUAGUGUAGCGGUGAAAUGCGUAGAUAUUAGGAGGAACAUCAGUGGCGAAGGCGGCUUACUGGGCUUUAACUGACGCUGAGGCUCGAAAGCGUGGGGAGCAAACAGGAUUAGAUACCCUGGUAGUCCACGCCGUAAACGAUGAUUACUAGGUGUGGGGGGACUGACCCCUUCCGUGCCGCAGCAAACGCAAUAAGUAAUCCACCUGGGGAGUACGACCGCAAGGUUGAAACUCAAAGGAAUUGACGGGGGCCCGCACAAGCAGUGGAGUAUGUGGAUUAAUUCGAAGCAACGCGAAGAACCUUACCAGGUCUUGACAUCGUAUGCAUAGCUCAGAGAUGAGUGAAAUCUCUUCGGAGACAUAUAGACAGGUGGUGCAUGGUUGUCGUCAGCUCGUGUCGUGAGAUGUUGGGUUAAGUCCCGCAACGAGCGCAACCCUUACUGUUAGUUGCUACGCAAGAGCACUCUAGCAGGACUGCCGUUGACAAAACGGAGGAAGGUGGGGAUGACGUCAAAUCAUCAUGCCCCUUAUGACCUGGGCCUCACACGUACUACAAUGGCUGUAAACAGAGGGAUGCAAAGCCGCGAGGUGGAGCGAACCCCUAAAAGCAGUCUUAGUUCGGAUUGUAGGCUGCAACCCGCCUACAUGAAGUCGGAAUUGCUAGUAAUCGCAGAUCAGCAUGCUGCGGUGAAUACGUUCCCGGGCCUUGUACACACCGCCCGUCACGCCAUGGGAGUCGGUAACACCCGAAGCCUGUAGUCUAACCGCAAGGAGGACGCAGUCGAAGGUGGGAUUGAUGACUGGGGUGAAGUCGUAACAAGGUAGCCG
RNAcentral lists this ribosomal RNA (1474 nucleotides) under uncultured bacterium. Its description in RNAcentral is "16S ribosomal RNA". It matches the Rfam family "Bacterial small subunit ribosomal RNA". The record is from RNAcentral.